AGCGAACGCUGGCGGCAGGCUUAACACAUGCAAGUCGAACGGGCUUCUUCUGAGGUCAUUCGCAGACGGGUGAGUAACCCGGGGGAACGUGCCCUUCGAUCCGGAUCUACUCAGGCAAACUGGAUCUAAUACCGGAUACGCCCCUUUUGGGGAAGGUUUACUACGGUAGGAUGGGCGCGCGAUUCAUUCGUUGGUUGGUUGGAUGACGGGCUACCAGGUCGGCGAGCAGUAGCUGGUAUGGGAGAAUGAUCCGCCACACUGGCACUGGGACACGGUGCAGAAUACUACGGGAGGGAGGCGUGGGGAAUCUUGGAAAAUCGGCGCAGGGAUGAUCCAGCCAUGCCGCGUGAGUGAUGAAGUCCUUAGGGUUGUAAAGCUCUUUUGUCCGGGACGAUAAUGACGGUACCGGAAGAAUAAGCCCCGGCUAACUUCGUG
RNAcentral lists this ribosomal RNA (435 nucleotides) under uncultured bacterium. Its description in RNAcentral is "partial 16S ribosomal RNA". It matches the Rfam family "Bacterial small subunit ribosomal RNA", at positions 29 to 507 of the family's 1533-position model. The record is from RNAcentral.